GUGGAUGAUAUUAUUUUUAGUACAACAAACUAUUCUUAUUGCAAGAAAUUCUCCAACAUGAUGCAAAGUGAAUUUGAAAUGAGUACGAUGGGUGAACUGACAUUCUUUUUUGGAUUGCAAAUUAAGAAAAUGAAAGAUGAAAUUUUUAUAAAUCAAUCCAAAUACAUCAAAGACAUGCUAAGGAAGUUCAAAAUAGAAGAUAUAAAAAGCAUUGGAACUCCAA
Molecule: unclassified non-coding RNA, 223 nt
Filed under: Hevea brasiliensis (rubber tree)
Lineage: Eukaryota; Viridiplantae; Streptophyta; Magnoliopsida; Malpighiales; Euphorbiaceae
Source: RNAcentral